GAGCCUACGGGGGGCAGCAGUGAGGAAUAUUGGUCAAUGGGCGGAAGCCUGAACGAGCAAUGCCGCGUGAACGAGGAGGGUCUUCGGAUCGUAAAGUUCUGUUGAAGGGGAAAAAGAGCGGAGAGAGGAAAUGCUUUCUGAUUGAUAUUACCCUUCGAGGAAGUCACGGCUAACUACGUGCCAGCAGCCGCGGUAAUACGUAGGUGGCGAGCGUUAUCCGGAAUGAUUGGGCGUAAAGGGUGCGUAGGCGGCCUGCUAAGUCUGGAGUGAAAGGUACCGGCUCAACCGGUACAGGCACUGGAAAC
This 305-nucleotide ribosomal RNA is filed under the name uncultured bacterium. RNAcentral's name for it is "bacterial SSU rRNA". It matches the Rfam family "Bacterial small subunit ribosomal RNA", at positions 335 to 633 of the family's 1533-position model. The record is from RNAcentral.